GAACGGCAGCACGGGUAGCAAUACCUGGUGGCGAGUGGCGCACGGGUGCGUAACGCGUAUGCAACCUACCUAUAACUGGGGAAUAGCCUUCUGAAAGGAAGAUUAACACCGCAUAAUAUCACUGAGCGGCAUCACUUGGUGAUCAAAUCUCCGGAGGUUAUAGAUGGGCAUGCGUGACAUUAGCUAGUUGGUGAGGUAACGGCUCACCAAGGCUACGAUGUCUAGGGGGUCUGAGAGGAUGAUCCCCCACACUGGUACUGAGACACGGACCAGACUCCUACGGGAGGCA
RNAcentral lists this ribosomal RNA (289 nucleotides) under uncultured Sphingobacterium sp. Its description in RNAcentral is "partial 16S ribosomal RNA". It matches the Rfam family "Bacterial small subunit ribosomal RNA", at positions 64 to 350 of the family's 1533-position model. Lineage: Bacteria; Pseudomonadati; Bacteroidota; Sphingobacteriia; Sphingobacteriales; Sphingobacteriaceae. The record is from RNAcentral.